Molecule: unclassified non-coding RNA, 332 nt
Filed under: soil metagenome
Description: partial contains 5.8S ribosomal RNA, internal transcribed spacer 2, and large subunit ribosomal RNA
Rfam family: 5.8S ribosomal RNA (bases 1-120)
Source: RNAcentral
GAUGAAGAACGUAGUGAAAUGCGAUAAGUAAUGUGAAUUGCAGAAUUCAGUGAAUCAUCGAAUCUUUGAACGCACAUUGCGCCCCCUGGUAUUCCGGGGGGCAUGCCUGUUCGAGCGUCAUUUCACCACUCAAGCCUCGCUUGGUAUUGGGCGACGCGGUCCGCCGCGCGCCUCAAAUCGACCGGCUGGGUCUUCCGUCCCCUCAGCGUUGUGGAAACUAUUCGCUAAAGGGUGCCGCGGGAGGUCACGCCGCAAAACAACCCCAUUUCUAAGGUUGACCUCGGAUCAGGUAGGGAUACCCGCUGAACUUAAGCAUAUCAAUAAGCGGAGGA